CCGAUGUGGAGGAAAUGGGCUUCCUGGAAC
This 30-nucleotide non-coding RNA is filed under the name Cricetulus griseus (Chinese hamster). Lineage: Eukaryota; Metazoa; Chordata; Mammalia; Rodentia; Cricetidae. The record is from RNAcentral.